GUAACAAGGUUUCCGUAGGUGAACCUGCGGAAGGAUCAUU
Molecule: ribosomal RNA, 40 nt
Filed under: Tricholoma myomyces
Lineage: Eukaryota; Fungi; Basidiomycota; Agaricomycetes; Agaricales; Tricholomataceae
Also listed under: 46 other names
Description: partial 18S ribosomal RNA
Source: RNAcentral